This 325-nucleotide long non-coding RNA is filed under the name Parus major (Great Tit). RNAcentral describes it as "lncRNA (ENSPMJG00000006378.1)". Lineage: Eukaryota; Metazoa; Chordata; Aves; Passeriformes; Paridae. The record is from RNAcentral.
CUUAAUUAAAUUUAAGAGGUUUCAGCUGUAGGCUUUAAUUUUAAUAUUGUGUCAAGACACUCUGCAUUUUAACUCUAUGCCAAUCUUUCUAUUUUAUUUUAUUUCUUCAGGAUCAUGUCUGCAUAGACUGUCUUCAAGAUUUUAUCCAAAAAUUUGCAAGACUGCAGAUUUUUCUUCUAGGAAAGUUCAGGAGAUGGACAGAGCAAUGUGCCUGUAUGACAGCCUUAUUUCGGUAAAAUGUGGGCUCACUGGAGGUGACCAAGAAGUUGUCAGCAGGUCUUACUCUGCUAUUGAAGUUGCAUGCUUCAGUCAAGACAAGAAUUAG